Molecule: ribosomal RNA, 292 nt
Filed under: uncultured bacterium
Lineage: Bacteria
Description: partial 16S ribosomal RNA
Rfam family: Bacterial small subunit ribosomal RNA
Source: RNAcentral
GUGCCAGCAGCCGCGGUAAGACGUAGGGCGCGAGCGUUGUCCGGAUUUAUUGGGCGUAAAGAGCUCGUAGGCGGCUCAUUGCGUCAACCGUGAAAUCCUGCUGCUCAACGGCAGGUCUGCGGUUGAUACGGGUGGGCUGGAGUUCGGUAGGGGAGACUGGAAUUCCUGGUGUAGCGGUGAAAUGCGCAGAUAUCAGGAGGAACACCGGUGGCGAAGGCGGGUCUCUGGGCCGAUACUGACGCUGAGGAGCGAAAGCGUGGGGAGCGAACAGGAUUAGAUACCCCCGUAGUCC